This 253-nucleotide ribosomal RNA is filed under the name uncultured bacterium. Its description in RNAcentral is "partial 16S ribosomal RNA". It matches the Rfam family "Bacterial small subunit ribosomal RNA", at positions 524 to 776 of the family's 1533-position model. The record is from RNAcentral.
GACGUAGGGGGCCAGCGUUGCUCGGAAUUACUGGGUGUAAAGGGUUCGUAGGCGGUGUGGCAAGUCGGGAGUGAAAUCUCUGGGCUCAACCCAGAGUCUGCUUCCGAAACUGCUGUGCUUGAGUGUGGGAGAGGCGCGUGGAAUUGCAGGUGUAGCGGUGAAAUGCGUAGAUAUCUGCAGGAACACCCGUGGCGAAAGCGGCGCGCUGGACCACUACUGACGCUGAGGAACGUAAGCUAGGGGAGCAAACAGG